Molecule: signal recognition particle RNA, 98 nt
Filed under: Ghiorsea sp.
Lineage: Bacteria; Pseudomonadati; Pseudomonadota; Candidatius Mariprofundia; Mariprofundales
Description: signal recognition particle sRNA small type
Rfam family: Bacterial small signal recognition particle RNA
About the family: The signal recognition particle (SRP) is a universally conserved ribonucleoprotein involved in the co-translational targeting of proteins to membranes. Archaeal SRP consists of a 7S RNA and homologues of the eukaryotic SRP19 and SRP54 proteins.
Source: RNAcentral
GGUCGGGUCUUGCACGGAAAGUUUUUGUGAACCCCGUCAGGUCCGGAAGGAAGCAGCGGCAGCAGAAUACUUUUGCGUUGCAAAUCAGUCCGACUCAA